This is a non-coding RNA of Pseudomonas putida S11, 92 nucleotides long. Lineage: Bacteria; Pseudomonadati; Pseudomonadota; Gammaproteobacteria; Pseudomonadales; Pseudomonadaceae. The record is from Rfam.
UGCUAUGGCAGCUGUGCGCGGGCAGGCUUUGCCUGGCCGGGUACGCGCCUCCAAGUUCGCCGGUUCUCACCUCGUGCAUGGCUGCCACCCAA